GUGGGGAAUCUUGCGCAAUGGGCGAAAGCCUGACGCAGCCAUGCCGCGUGAAUGAUGAAGGUCUUAGGAUUGUAAAAUUCUUUCACCGGGGACGAUAAUGACGGUACCCGGAGAAGAAGCUCCGGCUAACUUCGUGCCAGCAGCCGCGGUAAUACGAAGGGGGCUAGCGUUGCUCGGAAUUACUGGGCGUAAAGGGCGCGUAGGCGGACAGCUUAGUCAGAGGUGAAAGCCCAGGGCUCAACCUUGGAAUUGCCUUUGAUACUGGCUGUCUUGAGUUUGGGAGAGGUGAGUGGGACUCCGAGUGUAGAGGUGAAAUUCGUAGAUAUUCGGAAGAACACCAGUGGCGAAGGCGACUCACUGGCCCAAUACUGACGCUGAGGCGCGAAAGCGUGGGGAGCAAACAGGAUUAGAAACCCCUGUAGUCC
This 425-nucleotide ribosomal RNA is filed under the name uncultured bacterium. RNAcentral describes it as "partial 16S ribosomal RNA". It matches the Rfam family "Bacterial small subunit ribosomal RNA", at positions 354 to 796 of the family's 1533-position model. The record is from RNAcentral.